Molecule: long non-coding RNA, 1528 nt
Filed under: Piliocolobus tephrosceles (Ugandan red Colobus)
Lineage: Eukaryota; Metazoa; Chordata; Mammalia; Primates; Cercopithecidae
Description: lncRNA (ENSPTEG00000013066.1)
Source: RNAcentral
GUAAAUGAAAAUGUAAAUGAAAAUGAAGGUUAUAAUGACGGUCAAGAAGAUGACAAAAAUGAUGAAAAUAAUGUUUUGUCAAAAGAAAAAAAUUUAAAAUAUUCAAAAAAAAAAAUGUUACCGUUUUUACCUAUCGAAACACAUAAAUUAGCAAAGUUUUGUAAUGUUAUAAGAGAUUAUGAAAAAGAUUAUAAUUUAAACUUGUCUGUACAUAGUCAAUGGUUACCUGUUUUAUUUAAUAUGCCAAUUGUUAAUAAAUUACCACAUUGGGUUAAAAAAUGUAAAUAUUGUUGUUUCAAAAUGACUGAGUUGAAUAAUAUUCAAAAUAGUAAAGAAAGCAUCACUUCUUUUUUAUCUAAUCAUCAAGAAAAUGAAAAACAAACGGAAGAUAAAACAGAAAAUAAAAUAGAGGAUAAAAUAGAGGAUAAAAUAGAGGGUGAUAUUAAGAAAGGUAAGAAUAAUAAUAGUAAUGAAAAUAUUGAUGAAAAAGAUGAAACGAAUAAUGAACGUGAUAAAAAACAGGAUGAUGGUGAUGGUGAUGAUGUAGAAAAUAAUAAUAAAAAUGAUAAAAAUGACAAAAAUGACAAAAAUGAUAAAAAUGAUAUGAACGAAUAUAAUGACUCAAAUGUUGAUGGAAAUAAUGAUAACGAAAAAAAUACAGAUGUUGAAGAAAAAGAAAAUGAUAAAGAUAAAAAUGAUCAAAAAGAUAAUAAUAAUAAUAAUAAUCAAAAAAAUAAAAAAAAAAAUAAAGAAAAAAAAGAAGAUACUGAUGAAUAUAAUGUUUUAAAAAUACCACCACAAGUUUUUGAUUAUCCAAUUGAUCAAUUAGGUCAUGUAAAUGAAUGCUUUUUAUUUAAACUUUAUUCUAUUAAUAGUAAAAGUAUUUUAAUUUCAAGACUAACAUUAAAAUAUGAUCCUAGAAUAUCAGGAUGGAAAGGAGAUAAUAAAAUUAAAAAAGAUAUGAUAAACAAUAUGUCUAUGAAUAUGAACAAUAUGUCUAUGAAUAUGAAUAAUAUUUCGAUGAAUAUGAAUAAUAUGCCUAUGAAUAUGAAUAUAAUGAAAAAUAUGAACAUGAUGAACAUGCAUAAAUAUAAAGGUGGUAAAUACAAAAAUAAUAAAUCAGUUAAUCCAAAUAUUGCAAGUAUGACAAACAUGGCCAACAUAACAAAUAUGGCAGCUGGAAUGACAGGCAUGACAAACAAUAUGAUGAAUCCAUACAUGAAUGGCACAUAUAACCCUAAUUAUCGAAACAAUAUGUAUGACCAAAAUAUUCCUAUUCCACCUCCCAUGAAUAAUUUUAACAAAAAAAUGUACCAAGGACAUAAUAUGAACAUUAAAAGAAAAAACGAUUUAUACAAUUGUGAUAGCAUGGAAAAGUGCUACGAUAACUAUAAUAUGAAGGAUAACUACAAAUCAGAUGACGAUAGCUGUAAGAACUUCAUUUCUUAGUUUUAAUACGUGUGUAAUAUAAACUUUGUUUUGUGUAUAAUAUAAGCGUUUUAAUAAAAAAAAAAAAAAAAAACUAGCA